This 1886-nucleotide long non-coding RNA is filed under the name Homo sapiens (human). Its description in RNAcentral is "HSALNT0387045". The record is from RNAcentral. Lineage: Eukaryota; Metazoa; Chordata; Mammalia; Primates; Hominidae.
CUGGCCAAUGGGAAGCAGGUGGAAGUGACCUCACUGCUUCCAGGCUUGACCUAUAAUAACUCCUUGGAAACUUGUACUUUUUCUUCCCCUGUCAGAUGUCUGGACUUAAAGGAUCCAGCAGAGGAUUUGGAGGCUCCAGGGCAGCUUCCUGAGCCAGAACAGACCGAGAGAGACUCCUGGGGAGCUUUGAAAAAAAGAAAUUUAUUUCUCAUGGUUCUGGAAGCUGGGAAGUCCAAGAUCAAGGAAGCAGCAAAUUCAAUGUCUGGCCAGAGUCCCGCCUCCUCAUAGAUUCAUGGAUAUUCUUCUUGCUGUUUUCUCACAUGGUGGAAGAAGCAAGGCAGCUUCUGGGGUCACUUUUAUAAGGGCACUCAUGCAAUUAUGCAGGCUCUGUCUUCAUGUCCAAAUCAUCUCCCAAAAGACCCCAUCUCCUAACAAAUGAAUGCUGGGGUGACACAGACAUUCUGACCACAGCAGGAUUUGAAUCUAGCCUGCUGUAACCCAAAGCCUGUGUUACUAAGAACUUUGCUAUAUGGCAUGGGUCUUUCUGAGCCCUACCUGCCCUACAUCCUCUUCUAUAUCAAAAAUUUCACUUUUUUUUUUCAAAUAUUUUAUUUUUUGUAGAGAUGAGGAGGUCUUGAACUCCUGCCCUCAAAUGAUUCUCCUGCCUCGGCCUCCCAACGUGCUGGGAUUACAGACGUGAGCCACCUUGCCCAGCCAAAAAUUUUCAUUGUUUCUAACCUGGAUUCCUCUUCAAACCCUUCUAGGCAAUGUUUAUCCCACUGCAAGGAUGAGUUGCAUUUGCAACAUUUCUGAAUGUAAUUAUAAGUUAUUUCCAUAAUGGCUGAAUAGUCUGAAAAAAAGUUUUUUUUGCUGUGUGCUAUGUAGGCACAUUGAAUAAUAUUUAAACAAUAAAGGUUACCUCUUAUGUACUACAGCUGUGUUUUAUGCUAAUAACCAGAAUCAUUUAAUCAUUAUGAGCUAAUGACCUGCAAAAUUUCAUUUAAAAAAUGAAGCCAUAUCUGGGUCUCUGGAAAGCAAAACUGGAUAAAAAAUGAGGAAAGUCAAUGUUCAAUUUGUAUUCUUGAGUGGAGAGCAGCCGUAUAGUCUGUGCAGUUCCAUACCAAGUUUGAGCAUUUAAACAGAGGCAGGGGCCUGGCAUGGUGACUCACGCCUGGAAUCCCAGCACUCUGGGAGGCUGAGGCAGGCAGAUCUCCUGAGCCCAGGAGUUCCAGACCAGCCAGUGCAACAUGGCAAAACACCGUCUCUACAAAAAAAUAUAAAAAUUAGCUGGGCAUUGUGGUCCCAGUUACUUGGGAGGCUGAGGUGUGAAGAUCACUUGAUCCCAUGAGACAGCAGUUGCAGUGACCUGAGAUUGCAUCACUUCACUCCAGCCUGAGCAACAGAGUGAGAGCCUUUCUCAAAAAAUAGAUUAGAUAUAGAUACAGAUAUAUAGAUAAGAUGAAAGAAAGAAAGGGGGCAGCGGGGGCAAGGAAAUUCCGCAUCUUAAGGGACUUAAUGGUAUCACUUGAGCACCAACGAAAUAAAGAGAUUUCCUAUUGCAUUGCCAUGGUUAUCAAGGUUUGGGUCUGCGUCUUUCCUUCUGUCUGUACAGCACUCUGUCCUUCUAGUGUGGAUUCUGUUACUGCUAAAUCCCCGGGGUGAGCAGAGAGCAGAGCUGUGGACAAUCAGAGCUCCCUGCUGGCAAUCUUGGUGAGGAUCCUGGCCUUCCUUGGCUUUCCCACCCUGAACCACUCUUUGCUUUGGCUAACCCUCAUCUUAAGAUUUCUACAGGUGAGAUGCCUCUAUAGACUUGUAUAGUAAGCUCUAUCCAUUGUCUGCCCCAAAGGUAUCCUUCCUCUUUCCUUACUAAAAUAAUUAUAAUUCUG